Molecule: unclassified non-coding RNA, 254 nt
Filed under: uncultured Chitinophagales bacterium
Lineage: Bacteria; Pseudomonadati; Bacteroidota; Chitinophagia; Chitinophagales
Description: contains 16S-23S intergenic spacer region
Rfam family: Bacterial small subunit ribosomal RNA
Source: RNAcentral
UACGGAGGGUGCAAGCGUUAUCCGGAAUCACUGGGUUUAAAGGGUGCGUAGGCGGUCUGAUAAGUCAGUCGUGAAAUCGCUGGGCUCAACCCAUGCAACUGCGAUUGAUACUGUCAGACUUGAAUCAGGUUGAGGUAGGCGGAAUGUGGCAUGUAGCGGUGAAAUGCUUAGAUAUGCCAUAGAACACCGAUUGCGAAGGCAGCUUGCUGGGCCUGAAUUGACGCUGAGGCACGAAAGCGUGGGGAGCAAACAGG